RNAcentral lists this ribosomal RNA (903 nucleotides) under Streptococcus agalactiae. RNAcentral describes it as "bacterial SSU rRNA". It matches the Rfam family "Bacterial small subunit ribosomal RNA", at positions 55 to 925 of the family's 1533-position model. RNAcentral also lists the same sequence under 1 other name. The record is from RNAcentral. Lineage: Bacteria; Bacillati; Bacillota; Bacilli; Lactobacillales; Streptococcaceae.
AUGCAGUCGAGCGAGCUUGCCUAUAGAAAUUCUUCGGAAUGGACAUAGAUACAAGCUAGCGGCGGAUGGGUGAGUAACGCGUGGGUAACCUGCCCUUAAGUCUGGGAUACCAUUUGGAAACAGAUGCUAAUACCGGAUAAAAGCUACUUUCGCAUGAAAGAAGUUUAAAAGGCGGCGUAAGCUGUCGCUAAAGGAUGGACCUGCGAUGCAUUAGCUAGUUGGUAAGGUAACGGCUUACCAAGGCGAUGAUGCAUAGCCGAGUUGAGAGACUGAUCGGCCACAUUGGGACUGAGACACGGCCCAAACUCCUACGGGAGGCAGCAGUAGGGAAUCUUCCACAAUGGACGAAAGUCUGAUGGAGCAACGCCGCGUGAGUGAAGAAGGUUUUCGGAUCGUAAAGCUCUGUUGUUGGUGAAGAAGGAUAGAGGUAGUAACUGGCCUUUAUUUGACGGUAAUCAACCAGAAAGUCACGGCUAACUACGUGCCAGCAGCCGCGGUAAUACGUAGGUGGCAAGCGUUGUCCGGAUUUAUUGGGCGUAAAGCGAGCGCAGGCGGAUUGAUAAGUCUGAUGUGAAAGCCUUCGGCUCAACCGAAGAACUGCAUCAGAAACUGUCAAUCUUGAGUGCAGAAGAGGAGAGUGGAACUCCAUGUGUAGCGGUGGAAUGCGUAGAUAUAUGGAAGAACACCAGUGGCGAAGGCGGCUCUCUGGUCUGUAACUGACGCUGAGGCUCGAAAGCAUGGGUAGCGAACAGGAUUAGAUACCCUGGUAGUCCAUGCCGUAAACGAUGAGUGCUAAGUGUUGGGAGGUUUCCGCCUCUCAGUGCUGCAGCUAACGCAUUAAGCACUCCGCCUGGGGAGUACGACCGCAAGGUUGAAACUCAAAGGAAUUGACGGGGGCCCGCA